RNAcentral lists this ribosomal RNA (467 nucleotides) under uncultured bacterium. Its description in RNAcentral is "partial 16S ribosomal RNA". It matches the Rfam family "Bacterial small subunit ribosomal RNA", at positions 28 to 507 of the family's 1533-position model. The record is from RNAcentral.
GAUGAACGCUGGCGGCGUGCUUAACACAUGCAAGUCGAACGGAAAGGCCCAAGCUUGCUUGGGUACUCGAGUGGCGAACGGGUGAGUAACACGUGGGUGAUCUGCCCUGCACUUCGGGAUAAGCUUGGGAAACUGGGUCUCAUACCGGAUAGGACCACUUCUUGGAUGUUGUGGUGGAAAGUUUUUUCGGUGUGGGAUGAGCACGCGGCCUAUCAGCUUGUUGGUGGGGUAAUGGCCUACCAAGGCGCCGACGGGUAGCCGGCCUGGGAGGGUGUACGGCACCAGUGGGACUGGGAUACGGCCCAGACUCCGACUGGAGGCAGCAGUGGGGGAGAUGGCACAAUGGGCACGAGCCAGAGGCAGCGACGGCGCUGGGGGGAUGACGGUCUUCGGGUUGGAAACUCCAUUCGCUAGGGACGGAGCGGUUAGUGACGGUACCUGGAGAAGAAGCACCGGCUAACUACGUG